RNAcentral lists this ribosomal RNA (1320 nucleotides) under Massilia neuiana. RNAcentral's name for it is "bacterial SSU rRNA". It matches the Rfam family "Bacterial small subunit ribosomal RNA", at positions 113 to 1435 of the family's 1533-position model. The record is from RNAcentral. Lineage: Bacteria; Pseudomonadati; Pseudomonadota; Betaproteobacteria; Burkholderiales; Oxalobacteraceae.
AUAUAUCGGAACGUACCCAGAAGUGGGGGAUAACGUAGCGAAAGUUACGCUAAUACCGCAUACGAUCUACGGAUGAAAGUGGGGGACCUUCGGGCCUCAUGCUUUUGGAGCGGCCGAUAUCUGAUUAGCUAGUUGGUGAGGUAAAGGCUCACCAAGGCGACGAUCAGUAGCUGGUCUGAGAGGACGACCAGCCACACUGGAACUGAGACACGGUCCAGACUCCUACGGGAGGCAGCAGUGGGGAAUUUUGGACAAUGGGCGCAAGCCUGAUCCAGCAAUGCCGCGUGAGUGAAGAAGGCCUUCGGGUUGUAAAGCUCUUUUGUCAGGGAAGAAACGGCUGAGACUAAUAUUCUUGGCUAAUGACGGUACCUGAAGAAUAAGCACCGGCUAACUACGUGCCAGCAGCCGCGGUAAUACGUAGGGUGCAAGCGUUAAUCGGAAUUACUGGGCGUAAAGCGUGCGCAGGCGGUUUUGUAAGUCUGUCGUGAAAGCCCCGGGCUCAACCUGGGAAUUGCGAUGGAGACUGCAAGGCUUGAAUCUGGCAGAGGGGGGUAGAAUUCCACGUGUAGCAGUGAAAUGCGUAGAGAUGUGGAGGAACACCGAUGGCGAAGGCAGCCCCCUGGGUCAAGAUUGACGCUCAUGCACGAAAGCGUGGGGAGCAAACAGGAUUAGAUACCCUGGUAGUCCACGCCCUAAACGAUGUCUACUAGUUGUCGGGUUUUAAUUAACUUGGUAACGCAGCUAACGCGUGAAGUAGACCGCCUGGGGAGUACGGUCGCAAGAUUAAAACUCAAAGGAAUUGACGGGGACCCGCACAAGCGGUGGAUGAUGUGGAUUAAUUCGAUGCAACGCGAAAAACCUUACCUACCCUUGACAUGGAAGGAAUCCCGAAGAGAUUUGGGAGUGCCCGAAAGGGAACCUUCACACAGGUGCUGCAUGGCUGUCGUCAGCUCGUGUCGUGAGAUGUUGGGUUAAGUCCCGCAACGAGCGCAACCCUUGUCAUUAGUUGCUACGCAAGAGCACUCUAAUGAGACUGCCGGUGACAAACCGGAGGAAGGUGGGGAUGACGUCAAGUCCUCAUGGCCCUUAUGGGUAGGGCUUCACACGUCAUACAAUGGUACAUACAGAGGGCCGCCAACCCGCGAGGGGGAGCUAAUCCCAGAAAGUGUAUCGUAGUCCGGAUUGUAGUCUGCAACUCGACUACAUGAAGUUGGAAUCGCUAGUAAUCGCGGAUCAGCAUGUCGCGGUGAAUACGUUCCCGGGUCUUGUACACACCGCCCGUCACACCAUGGGAGCGGGUUUUACCAGAAGUAGGUAGCU